Molecule: long non-coding RNA, 1531 nt
Organism: Eriocheir sinensis (Chinese mitten crab)
Lineage: Eukaryota; Metazoa; Arthropoda; Malacostraca; Decapoda; Varunidae
Exons: 2
Source: RefSeq, a predicted model, not a curated record
GAGAGAGAUGAUGCUAAAAAAAGGUCAUUAAGCUGUUUUCUCCUUCCAAAAUUGACCCUCGCUGCUAUUCAUUCAUUUUCUUUUUCUUUUGAGGAAGCUCUGAGGGAAAAAAAGGUGUGGAAAAAGAAGAACAAGGGGUGGACAACGUAACGAAGGAAGCGCGAUGUGAUAGGGGAGAGGAAUGAAAUGACAAGUUAAAAAAGUUAAAAAGAGGAUGAGGAAAAAGUAAAUAGAAGGAAGGCAGAAAAGGAGUGAAGAAAGGAAGACCAAGAAGCGGCCAUUACAAAAGGAAGGAAAGGAGGGAUGAAAGAAAGGAGAGAAAUGGAUGUAGGGAAAGACAUGAAAGGAGGGGAAAAGGAGAUAAACUAAGAUAGAAAGGCAGAAAGUGAGUAAGAAAGGAAGACCAAGAAGCGGCCAUUACACAAGGAAGGAAAGGAGGGAUGAAAGAAAGGAGGAGAGAAAUGGAUGUAGGAAAAGACGUGAAAGGCUGGGAAAAAGAUAAAAACUAAGACAGAAAGGCAGAAAGUGAGUAAGAAAGGAAGACCAGGAAGCGGCCAUUACACAAGGAAGGAAAGGAGGGAUGAAAGGAAGGAGAGAAAUGGAUAUAGGGAAAGACAUGAAAGGUUGGGAAAAAGACAAAAACUAAGAUAUAAAGCCAGAAAGCGUGUUGAAAUAGUCGAUGUGAGUUCCAGGAGCGUCUGACAACACCAACCUUAGUAUGCAGGAGUGGUCGGGGAGGGAGAGGGAGGGAAAUAAGGGAACUAAGAGGUAAUGAAGCGAGCGAAGUUAGUUUAAGUAAGGGCCGGGGUGGAAGGUAAGAGGUUGAAGUUAUUGAGAGAAGCGUUGGGUUAAUACUCAGAGGGGAAGGAGCAGGAAGUGAAGAGAAGGAGGGAAGUAAGGAAUGGAGGAAGGAAUAGAAGGAAAGGGGCGGAGAAAGGAAACAAGGAAACGAAAGUAGGAAUGAAGGAGAGGUGAAAAGAUAGGAAGGAGGGAAGUAAGGAAUGGAGGAAGGAAUAGAAGGAAAGGGGCGGAGAGAGGAAAGGAAGGAACGAAAGUAGGAAUGAAGGAGAGGCGAAAAGAUAGGAAGGAGCGGGAAGCGAGGAAGAGAAGGAAAGGAAGGAAAGGCGAGGAAAAAAGAAGUAAAGGAGAUUAAAAAAGGAGAGGAACGGGAAGCGAAAAAGAGAAGGAAAGGAAGGAAAGGAGAGGAAAAAAAAGUAAAGGAAAUUAAAAAAAAAGAAGAAAAGGAGCGGGAAACGAAGAAAAGGAAAGGAGCAAGGAAGGAAAGAAGUAAAUAAGGAAGAAAAAAAAGCAGGGCAAGGGAGAAGAAAGGAGCGAAGAAAAGAAAGGAAGGAGCGGAAAAGUAACGAAGAAAGGAAGGAACAACAGGGAGGAAAGUAACGAAGAAGAGACAGAAAGAAAAGGAAAUUAAAGAAACGGGAAGCGAAGAAGAGGAAAAGAUAAGAAGCUGAAAAGAACUGAAGAACGAAAGGGAAUUAACACAAGAAACAAGAAAGAGAAGGAAAAAAAACAA